CGGGUAUAAAAAUCACAAUUAUAAAGGGAGUCAGGGCGAGGCAUACACUGUCAAAAAACAAUAUACGAGAAUAAAUAAUUAAACCCAUUUUUAUAAACGUUUCUCCCGAUAUUAUUCUCUAAAUUGAAAGAAAACAACAGGCAUAUAUUUUCAUUAGCUUUGAACUGAAAACCUUUUAAGAUAAGCCGAAGUUGACUUUUUCGUAUUUUGUUUUAUAUCUUUUUAGUUCAUCGCCUAUAAUCGUUCAGCAAAGAAAAACAAACAUUUUCGGUUCUUUUUGUGCGCGAAUAAUCCACUAAUUUUUCCCGCAAGACGCACUUAGCACCAAAGACGCUCAGCUACAGCGGUACAACAAAUGAAACGAGAAGGCAGCAAUUUUUGGUCGAAUAACAACAGAUCACCAAAAAAAAACGGGACACGUUGACAUAUUAAUUGGUUUAAGUUAGUGGAAGGCGCGGCUAAGAGGCAACGGUACAGCAACUGGAAUUUCCAAGCAACUCCACUCAACGAAAAGAAAGCGAGCGAAAGAGAAUUAGAAGAUCACGCGAUGCGUCGCUCCCAAUGCGAAAACCGAACGCAUCGCUGUAUGCGUGCGCAUGUGUGUGCAGUUGCGGUUUUUGGCUGUGCAUGGGAGAGCUCUAUGUAAAGCCUCUGUAAGCAAUAGCAACGCAAUAAUGAGCAUAAUUAUAGAUGCUUGAGCGUUGAAGUGAAAUGAUGAACAGAAGAGAGGAAAAGUAAAAUAAGCGGGAAAUUUCUCCACCAUUUGUAUUGCAAAAAUGUUUUUCGAGGUUUUUAACGAGCCCGAUUUGUAAAGACCUCACCUAGGCCAGAUUUGCCCUAUAUGUCAUGUAUAUUCUCGAUUUAUAAUGAAUCUCAACAAUAAAAUGGCGACCUUUUUGCAUA
This is a long non-coding RNA of Drosophila miranda, 903 nucleotides long. RefSeq lists it as uncharacterized. NCBI's taxonomy places the organism in Eukaryota, Metazoa, Arthropoda, Insecta, Diptera, Drosophilidae. The record is from RefSeq and is a predicted model, not a curated record. The transcript has 3 exons.